RNAcentral lists this ribosomal RNA (427 nucleotides) under uncultured bacterium. RNAcentral's name for it is "partial 16S ribosomal RNA". It matches the Rfam family "Bacterial small subunit ribosomal RNA", at positions 355 to 774 of the family's 1533-position model. The record is from RNAcentral.
UGGGGAAUAUUGCACAAUGGGCGCAAGCCUGAUGCAGCCAUGCCGCGUGUAUGAAGAAGGCCUUCGGGUUGUAAAGUACUUUCAGCGAGGAGGAAGGCGUUGUGGUUAAUAACCGCAACGAUUGACGUUACUCGCAGAAGAAGCACCGGCUAACUCCGUGCCAGCAGCCGCGGUAAUACGGAGGGGGCAAGCGUUAAUCGGAUUUACUGGGCGUAAAGCGCACGCAGGCGGUCUGUCAAGUCGGAUGUGAAAUCCCCGGGCUCAACCUGGGAACUGCAUCCGAAACUGGCAGGCUAGAGUCUUGUAGAGGGGGGUAGAAUUCCAGGUGUAGCGGUGAAAUGCGUAGAGAUCUGGAGGAAUACCGGUGGCGAAGGCGGCCCCCUGGACAAAGACUGACGCUCAGGUGCGAAAGCGUGGGGAGCAAACA